GACGAACGCUGGCGGCGUGCCUAAUACAUGCAAGUAGAACGCACAGUUUAUACCGUAGCUUGCUACACCAUAGCCUGUGAGUUGCGAACGGGUGAGUAACGCGUAGGUAACCUGCCUGGUAGCGGGGGGUAACUAUUGGAAACGAUAGCUAAUACCGCAUAAUAUUAAUUAUUGCAUGAUAAUUAAUUGUAAUGUUCAAUUGCACCACUACCAGAUGGACCUGCGUUGUAUUAGCUAGUGGGGGAGGUAACGGCUCAACUAGGCGACGAAACAUAGCCGACCUGGGAGGGUGGUCGGCCAAACUGGGAACGGGACACGGCCCAGACUCCUACGGGGGGCAGCAGUAGGGGAUCUUCGGGAAAGGAGGAAAGGCUUGACGAGCAAAGCCGGGGGGGUGAAGGAGGGUUUCGGAUCGUAAAGCUCUGUUGUAAGGGGAGAAAGGGUGGGAGAGUGGAAAGUGCACACUGUGACGGUAUCUUACCAGAAAGGGACGGCUAACUACGUG
RNAcentral lists this ribosomal RNA (505 nucleotides) under uncultured bacterium. RNAcentral describes it as "partial 16S ribosomal RNA". It matches the Rfam family "Bacterial small subunit ribosomal RNA", at positions 28 to 507 of the family's 1533-position model. The record is from RNAcentral.